RNAcentral lists this ribosomal RNA (425 nucleotides) under uncultured prokaryote. RNAcentral's name for it is "bacterial SSU rRNA". It matches the Rfam family "Bacterial small subunit ribosomal RNA", at positions 355 to 774 of the family's 1533-position model. The record is from RNAcentral.
UAACGAAUAUUGGGCAAUGGGCGAAAGCCUGACCCAGCAAUGCCGCGUGCAGGACGAAGUCCUUCGGGAUGUAAACUGCUGUCAGGGGUCCGCAAGCGAAGGGGUCCAACAGGCCCUGGAGUUGAGCAGCCCCAGAGGAAGCCUCGACUAACUCUGUGCCAGCAGUCGCGGUAAGACAGAGGAGGCAAGCGUUGUUCGGAAUCACUGGGCUUAAAGCGCGUGUAGGCGGCUUAGAAAGUGUCGUGUGAAAUCCCGCGGCUCAACCGCGGAACUGCACGGCAAACUACUUGGCUUGAGGUCGGUAGAGGUGCCUGGAACUCUAGGUGGAGCGGUGAAAUGCGUAGAUAUCUAGAGGAACGCCAGAAGCGAAGGCGAGUCCCUGGACAACUCCUGACACUGAGGCACGAAAGCUAGGGGAGCAAACA